Molecule: ribosomal RNA, 325 nt
Filed under: uncultured soil bacterium
Lineage: Bacteria
Description: bacterial SSU rRNA
Rfam family: Bacterial small subunit ribosomal RNA
Source: RNAcentral
AGAUUGAACGCUGGCGGCAGGCCUAACACAUGCAAGUCGAGCGGUAGAGAGGUGCUUGCACCUCUUGAGAGCGGCGGACGGGUGAGUAAUGCCUAGGAAUCUGCCUAGUGGUGGGGGAUAACGUUCGGAAACGGACGCUAAUACCGCAUACGUCCUACGGGAGAAAGCGGGGGACCUUCGGGCCUCGCGCCAUUAGAUGAGCCUAGGUCGGAUUAGCUAGUUGGUGAGGUAAUGGCUCACCAAGGCGACGAUCCGUAACUGGUCUGAGAGGAUGAUCAGUCACACUGGAACUGAGACACGGUCCAGACUCCGUACGGGAGCAGCA